RNAcentral lists this ribosomal RNA (497 nucleotides) under uncultured bacterium. RNAcentral describes it as "partial 16S ribosomal RNA". It matches the Rfam family "Bacterial small subunit ribosomal RNA", at positions 28 to 507 of the family's 1533-position model. The record is from RNAcentral.
GAUGAACGCUGGCGGCGUGCCUAAUACAUGCAAGUCGAGCGAACAGACGAGGAGCUUGCUCCUCUGACGUUAGCGGCGGACGGGUGAGUAACACGUGGAUAACCUACCUAUAAGACUGGGAUAACUUCGGGAAACCGGAGCUAAUACCGGAUAAUAUAUUGAACCGCAUGGUUCAAUAGUUAAAGACGGUUUUGCUGUCACUUAUAGAUGGAUCCGCGCCGCAUUAGCUAGUUGGUAAGGUAACGGCUUACCAAGGCAACGAUGCGUAGCCGACCUGAGAGGGUGAUCGGCCACACUGGAACUGAGACACGGUCCAGACUCCUACGGGAGGCAGCAGUAGGGAAUCUUCCGCAAUGGGCGAAAGCCUGACGGAGCAACGCCGCGUGAGUGAUGAAGGUCUUCGGAUCGUAAAACUCUGUUAUUAGGGAAGAACAAAUGUGUAAGUAACUAUGCACGUCUUGACGGUACCUAAUCAGAAAGCCGCGGCUAACUACGUG